This 253-nucleotide ribosomal RNA is filed under the name uncultured bacterium. RNAcentral describes it as "partial 16S ribosomal RNA". It matches the Rfam family "Bacterial small subunit ribosomal RNA", at positions 524 to 776 of the family's 1533-position model. The record is from RNAcentral.
UACGUAGGCAGCGAGCGUUGUUCGGAAUUACUGGGCGUAAAGCGCACGUAGGCGGCUUUGUAAGUAAGAGGUGAAAGCCUGGAGCUCAACUCCAGAACUGCCUUUUAGACUGCAUCGCUUGAAUCCAGGAGAGGUGAGUGGAAUUCCGAGUGUAGAGGUGAAAUUCGUAGAUAUUCGGAAGAACACCAGUGGCGAAGGCGGCUCACUGGACUGGUAUUGACGCUGAGGUGCGAAAGCGUGGGGAGCAAACAGG